RNAcentral lists this ribosomal RNA (494 nucleotides) under uncultured bacterium. RNAcentral's name for it is "partial 16S ribosomal RNA". It matches the Rfam family "Bacterial small subunit ribosomal RNA", at positions 28 to 507 of the family's 1533-position model. The record is from RNAcentral.
GACGAACGCUGGCGGCGUGCUUAACACAUGCAAGUCGAACGGAAAGGCCUGCUUUCCCUUGUGGAUUGCGGGUACUCGAGUGGCGAACGGGUGAGUAACACGUGAGUGAUCUGCCCCCAACUUGGGUAUAAGCCUGGGAAACUGGGUCUAAUUCCCGAUAGGACUGCAGGGUGGUGCCUGUGGUGGAAAACGAUUUUCUAGUGGUUGGGGAUGAGCUCGCGGCCUAUCAGCUUGUUGGUGGGGUAAUGGCCUACCAAGGCGGCGACGGGUAGCCGGCCUGAGAGGGUGGACGGCCACAUUGGGACUGAGAUACGGCCCAGACUCCUACGGGAGGCAGCAGUGGGGAAUAGUGCACGAUGGGCGGAAGCCUGAUGCAGCGACGCCGCGUGGGGGAUGACGGCCUUCGGGUUGUAAACUCCUUUCGACCGCGAGGAAGCCACCUGGUUGGAAGGGUGGUGACGGUAGUGGUAGAAGAAGCACCGGCUAACUACGUG